UUUUCCACUCUGUACUGCCAACUUUCUCCAAGAUUGAUGUCACCUGCACCUAAUGACAAUGAGAGUACAUCUAGCUACAAGCAGUUCUCUGUAUAACCUGCUGAUCAGUGUUUUUCCUGUGGUAUGACAGGCUAAGCUCUCCUGUUGGUCUUACCGAGAUGAAACACUGGAUUCAUAAGAUCAAUGCAUGACACGAUCUCAGCUUCCUUCAUCCCCUCUGUGUUUGUUAUGUCAAGCCCACCACUGCUGUCCUGGUCCAACCAGAGCUGGUUGUCAGGUGUUGCCCAUGCAAGCCUCUCUAGAGCUGCACAAGACAGAGGGACUUUCAUCAUGCAGCUAAGGAGACCAUUGCUCGCCAGUGAGUUCCGCCAAUCUGGGUUCACAUUUUGUAUCAACAAGAUUUGUAUACUUUAUUGAUCAAAUUACAGUUCAUUGGCUUUAUUGUCAUAUGCACCUGUAACUGCAUCAGUGUUCGCAGUCACUCACCCUGGAGCAGUAAAGCUUUGCCACAGGAAUACUUGAGAAGGACUAAGGGCUGCCAUUCAAGACCAUCUGGUACUAAACAGUAUUUCUCUAAACCCAUGGUUACCCAGGUAUCAAUCAAGGCUGUUUUCUAUCUAGACCUCUGCUGUAAGUGGCCACUCAAUUUGUCCAUAAGCCAAAUAUACAGUAUUCCUAGCAGAGCUCAUAAUGAGUGUACGUGAAUGACCUUUCAAAAGCUCUCUGACUCCUUCAAAACCCAAGCAGAAAGUCUGUAUUUGCGAGAUCAGAAAUAAAAUGAAAACCUCACUUUGGCUGAAUAAAAAAGCCAUAUACAGGAAAGCCCUUGAUGAAUAGCAUGCUUUUAACAAAAAUACCAUUUCCUUUGCCACAAAAAAUGUUGUUUUAGAUUCUGAAAUUAAGUGCUUGUUCCACUGGGCUGUAACAUUUUGUUAAGCUGCAGAGACGUUAGAGGAACAGCUUUUCCGUUUCUUACAGACUUCAGCUAUUUACAAUUCUCUUUUAAUAUUUCUUUUUCUGGAGGAGAGAAACACAUUCUAGGAUUUUCUCUAAGCCUUUUUUGGUUCAUUAUGGAGGUCUGACUUUCUGCAUCCACUAAAGCAACCACAGAUGAUCUACUUUUGCGGCCUUAGGGAAACCUGAACCUGGAGCCGGCUUUUAGAAUUCACCGACAGGCCCAGGUCCUUGGCUGCCGUGGCGGAGGCUCUGCUCCUCUCAGAAAGCUUGGAGAAUUUAUGGAGGACUUAAGUAGCAGCUACAAAUCACCGUUCUGUUUCAGCUCAAGAGUGAACUGCAUUUAAGGGAGAAUUGUUGUAACAAGAAGAAAACUUCCCAGCUCAAGUGUUUCCAAGCUAUUCAUCGUUCUCCUAGUAUCUGUCCCCCUGGAAAUUCUCCAAGUCCUCAUGAUACUGCUCUUGUAAACAAUUAUUUUCUUUCCUGAACUCCUGUAAUAAAAUUCAUACUGGA
Non-coding RNA from Phasianus colchicus (ring-necked pheasant), 1467 nucleotides. The record is from RefSeq and is a predicted model, not a curated record. Lineage: Eukaryota; Metazoa; Chordata; Aves; Galliformes; Phasianidae.